RNAcentral lists this ribosomal RNA (1101 nucleotides) under Pezizomycetes sp. 11195. Its description in RNAcentral is "eukaryotic LSU rRNA". The stretch from base 506 to 1101 matches the Rfam family "Eukaryotic large subunit ribosomal RNA", at positions 1 to 604 of the family's 3401-position model. Lineage: Eukaryota; Fungi; Ascomycota; Pezizomycetes. The record is from RNAcentral.
AAGUAAUAUAUAUUCUAAGGAAUAUACAUUAUCAACCCACCUGUGAAUCAUACCUGUUGCUUUCGUAGAGCAGCGACUCCUGUCGCCUCUGAUGAUGAUAUCAGUCAUCUGAUGAGAGUCUCUACGGGAGGUCCACUUUAAACAAUUGUAUUCUUAUGACCUCAGUCUGACCUGUACACAUUAAGUUUAAAACUUUCAACAACGGAUCUCUUGGUUCUCGCAUCGAUGAAGAACGCAGCGAAAUGCGAUAAGUAGUGUGAAUUGCAGAAUUCAGUGAAUCAUCGAAUCUUUGAACGCACAUUGCGCCCUCCGGCAUUCCGGGGGGCAUGCCUGUUCGAGCGUCAUUAAAACCACUCAAGCUCUUUUGCUUGGUACUGGAAGAGGAGUUCCUUCAGUUCUCCUUUCUGAAAUGCAAUGGCGGAGAGUUACAUGUUCCCUAGCGUAGUAAGCAUAACUUUCGCUUGGAACGUGUGACUCUGUUGCCCUCAAUCCCCAUUCUUUAGGUUGACCUCGGAUCAGGUAGGGAUACCCGCUGAACUUAAGCAUAUCAAUAAGCGGAGGAAAAGAAACCAACAGGGAUUGCCUUAGUAACUGCGAGUGAAGCGGCAAAAGCUCAAAUUUGAAAUCUGAUACCUUUGGUGUCCGAGUUGUAAUUUGGAGGGAUAUCUUCGGAGUCGGCACCGUCCUAAGUUUCUUGGAACAGGACGUCACAGAGGGUGAGAAUCCCGUGCCUGGGCGGAUGUCCGAUUCCAUGUGAAGUGUCUCCGACGAGUCGAGUUGUUUGGGAAUGCAGCUCAAAAUGGGUGGUAAAUUUCAUCUAAAGCUAAAUAUUGGCGAGAGACCGAUAGCGCACAAGUAGAGUGAUCGAAAGAUGAAAAGCACUUUGAAAAGAGAGUUAAAAAGUACGUGAAAUUGUUGAAAGGGAAGCGCUUGCGACCAGACUCGAUCUUUGGUGAUCAGCCGGGCUUCGGUUCGGUGCACUUGCCAUUGAUUGGGCCAGCAUCGGUUCUGACGGUGGGAUAAAAGGCAGAGGAAUGUGGCUUCCCUCGGGGAGUGUUAUAGCCUCAGUCACAAUGCUACCAGUCGGGACCGAGGACCGCG